Molecule: ribosomal RNA, 374 nt
Filed under: uncultured organism
Description: partial 16S ribosomal RNA
Rfam family: Bacterial small subunit ribosomal RNA
Source: RNAcentral
GUAGGUGGCAAGCGUCGUCCGGAAUUAUUGGGGCGUAAAGCGCGCGCAGGCGGUUCUUUAAGUCUGAUGUGAAAGCCCACGGGCUCAACCGUGGAGGGUCAUUGGAAACUGGAGAACUCGAGUACAGAAGAGGAAAGCGGAAUUCCACGUGUAGCGGUGAAAUGCGUAGAGAUGUGGAGGAACACCAGUGGCGAAGGCGGCUUUCUGGUCUGUAACUGACGCUGAGGCGCGAAAGCGUGGGGAGCAAACAGGAUUAGAUACCCUGGUAGUCCACGCCGUAAACGAUGAGUGCUAAGUGUUAGGGGGUUUCCGCCCCUUAGUGCUGCAGCUAACGCAUUAAGCACUCCGCCUGGGGAGUACGGCCGCAAAGGCUG